CAGUAGCCGCGGGAAUACGUAGGUGGCAAGCGUUGUCCGGAAUUAUUGGGUGUAAAGGGCUCGCAGGCGGUUUCUUAAGUCUGAUGUGAAAGCCCCCGGCUCAACCGGGGAGGGUCAUUGGAAACUGGGAAACUUGAGUGCAGAAGAGGAGAGUGGAGUUCCACGUAUAGCGGUGAAAUGCGUAGAGAUGUGGAGGAACACCAGUGGCGAAGGCGACUCUCUGGUCUGUAACUGACGCUGAGGAGCGAAAGCGUGGGGAGCGAACAGGAUUAGAUACCCCCGUAGUCCCUGUCUCUUAUAA
Molecule: ribosomal RNA, 301 nt
Filed under: uncultured bacterium
Lineage: Bacteria
Description: partial 16S ribosomal RNA
Rfam family: Bacterial small subunit ribosomal RNA
Source: RNAcentral